This 298-nucleotide ribosomal RNA is filed under the name uncultured bacterium. Its description in RNAcentral is "partial 16S ribosomal RNA". It matches the Rfam family "Bacterial small subunit ribosomal RNA", at positions 29 to 317 of the family's 1533-position model. The record is from RNAcentral.
AACGAACGCUGGCGGCGCGCUUAACACAUGCAAGUCGAACGAGAAGGCGUAGCAAUACGCUUGUACAGUGGCGAACGGGUGAGUAAUACGUGGGCGACCUACCCUCGAGUGGGAAGUAACCCGCCGAAAGGCGGGCUAAUGCCGCGUACGCUUCCAUCUUUAUGGAGGUGGAAGGAAAGCCGUGCCGUGGGCACGGCGCUCAAGGAUGGGCUCACGUCCUAUCAGCUUGUUGGAGGGUUAACGGCCUACCAAGGCUCCGACGGGUAGCUGGUCUGAGAGGAUGAUCAGCCACACUGGC